UACGUAGGGUGCGAGCGUUAAUCGGAAUUACUGGGCGUAAAGCGUGCGCAGGCGGUUUUGUAAGUCAGAUGUGAAAUCCCCGGGCUCAACCUGGGAACUGCGUUUGAAACUGCAAGGCUAGAGUAUGGGAGAGGGAGGUAGAAUUCCACGUGUAGCAGUGAAAUGCGUAGAGAUGUGGAGGAAUACCAAUGGCGAAGGCAGCCUCCUGGCCUAAUACUGACGCUCAUGCACGAAAGCGUGGGGAGCAAACAGGAUUAGAAACCCCCGUAGUCC
This 273-nucleotide ribosomal RNA is filed under the name uncultured bacterium. RNAcentral's name for it is "partial 16S ribosomal RNA". It matches the Rfam family "Bacterial small subunit ribosomal RNA", at positions 524 to 796 of the family's 1533-position model. The record is from RNAcentral.